UCUCCGUAGGUGAACCUGCGGAGGGAUCAUUACUGAGUGAGGGUCUCCGGGCCCGACCUCCAACCCUUUUGUGAACCACCUCGUUGCUUCGGGGGCGACCCUGCCGUUCGCGGCGUGGGGCCCCCGGAGCCCAUCAAACCCUGCGUAACUAAGUCGUCGGAGUAUUAGUAAAUCUAAUCAAAACUUUCAACAACGGAUCUCUUGGUUCUGGCAUCGAUGAAGAACGCAGC
Molecule: unclassified non-coding RNA, 230 nt
Filed under: uncultured fungus
Lineage: Eukaryota; Fungi
Description: sequence contains ITS1, 5.8S rRNA gene
Rfam family: 5.8S ribosomal RNA (bases 182-230)
Source: RNAcentral